Molecule: non-coding RNA, 800 nt
Filed under: Aedes albopictus (Asian tiger mosquito)
Lineage: Eukaryota; Metazoa; Arthropoda; Insecta; Diptera; Culicidae
Source: RNAcentral
AUAAAAUUAUUAUUUUAUUUUAGUUAAUAUUUUUGUUAUUAUUUUAUUUUACAUGUAAAUUUUUGUAUGAAUUAAAUUAAUUUUUAAAAAAUUAAAUUUAUAAAUAUUUAUUCGCAGUAAUUAAUAUUAAUUAAAAAAGAAAUUUUGUAUUAGUAAUAAUAUAUAGUAUUGGUAAAAUUUGUGCCAGCUACCGCGGUUAUACAAAUAAUACAAAUAAAAAUUUUUAGUAUUAGUUAAAUGAUUAAAUUUAUAAUAUAAAUUUAAAUUUAUUAGGUGAAAUUUUUAAAUUUAUUUAUUUAUUAUUAUUAUUAAAAAUAAUUUAAGCUAUAAACUUUUUAUAAUAAACUAGGAUUAGAUACCCUAUUAUUAAAAAUAAAUAUUUAAAUGCUAAAGUAGUAUUAGUUAUAUUCUUAAAAUUUAAAAAAUUUGGCGGUGUUUUAGUCUAUUUAGAGGAAUCUGUUCUGUAAUUGAUAAUUCACAUUGAACCUUACUUAAAUUUGUUUAAUUUGUAUAUCGCCGUCAUCAGAAUAUGUUAUAAGAUAAAAAUUUUCUAAAAAUUUAAUUUAAUAAAAUGUCAGGUCAAGGUGCAGUUUAUAUUUAAGUAGAAAUGGAUUACAAUAAUUUUAUUUAAAUGGAUAAUUUUUUGAAAUAAAGAUUUGAAGGUGGAUUUAAUAGUAAUAUAAAAGAGAUUAUUUAUAUGAUUUUAGCUCUAAAACAUGUACAUAUCGCCCAUCGUUCUUAUUUUUAAAAUAAGAUAAGUUGUAACAUAGUAGAUGUACUGGAAAGUGUAUCUAGAAAGA